UACGGAGGGUGCAAGCGUUAAUCGGAAUUACUGGGCGUAAAGCGCACGUAGGCGGUUUGGUAAGCUAGCCGUGAAAGCCCCGGGCUUAACCUGGGAAUUGCGGUUAGAACUGCCAAGCUAGAGUAUGGUAGAGGGGUGUGGAAUUUCAGGUGUAGCGGUGAAAUGCGUAGAUAUCUGAAGGAACACCAGUGGCGAAGGCGACACCCUGGACCAAUACUGACGCUGAGGUGCGAAAGCGUGGGGAGCAAACAGGAUUAGAAACCCCAGUAGUCC
Molecule: ribosomal RNA, 273 nt
Filed under: uncultured bacterium
Lineage: Bacteria
Description: partial 16S ribosomal RNA
Rfam family: Bacterial small subunit ribosomal RNA
Source: RNAcentral